RNAcentral lists this unclassified non-coding RNA (395 nucleotides) under soil metagenome. RNAcentral's name for it is "partial contains 5.8S ribosomal RNA, internal transcribed spacer 2, and large subunit ribosomal RNA". The stretch from base 1 to 120 matches the Rfam family "5.8S ribosomal RNA", at positions 35 to 154 of the family's 154-position model. The record is from RNAcentral.
GAUGAAGAACGCAGCGAAAUGCGAUAAGUAAUGUGAAUUGCAGAAUUCAGUGAAUCAUCGAAUCUUUGAACGCACCUUGCGCCUUUUGGUAUUCCGAAAGGCACACCUGUUUGAGCGUCAUGAAUACCUCAAUCUCCAUCUUUUCUUCGGAUUGAUGGGUGACUUGGAUGUUGAGCCCUGCUGGUAUGCUAUAUCAGCUGGCUUUAAACUUAUUAGCCGGCUCUGUACUGGAUCGGUUUGACUCGACGUGAUAAUAUUAUCGUUGAGGAUGCAUGUUUCAUGCAGCCGGAAAGUAUCAAAGCAGCUUCUAGCUUGCCUUUAGUGCACUUUUACAUUUUAGACCUCAGAUCAGGUGGGACUACCCGCUGAACUUAAGCAUAUCAAUAAGCGGAGGA